GAGAACUAGAUGCCACCCCUCGGAUGACCAUACCCUAUGAAGAGCUCUCUGGGACCCGGCACUUCAAGGGCCAAGCCCAGAACUACUCAACACUGCUGCUGGAGGAGGCCUCAGCAAGGCUGCUGGUGGGAGCCCGAGGUGCCCUGUUCUCUCUCAGUGCCAACGACAUAGGAGAUGGGGCUCACAAAGAGAUCCACUGGGAAGCCUCCCCAGAGAUGCAAAGCAAAUGUCAUCAAAAAGGGAAAAACAACCAGACGGAGUGCUUUAACCAUGUGCGGUUCCUGCAGCGGCUCAAUUCCACCCAUCUCUAUGCAUGUGGGACUCACGCCUUCCAGCCCCUCUGUGCAGCCAUUGAUGCUGAGGGCUUCACCUUGCCAACCAGCUUCGAGGAGGGGAAGGAGAAGUGUCCUUAUGACCCAGCCCGUGGCUUCACAGGCCUCAUCAUUGAUGGAGGCCUCUACACAGCCACUAGGUAUGAAUUCCGGAGCAUUCCCGACAUCCGCCGGAGCCGCCACCCACACUCCCUGAGAACUGAGGAGACACCAAUGCAUUGGCUCAAUGGGAGACCUGGGAGGGAAGAAGAUCCUGCAGAAGAAGUGGACUUCCUUCCUGAAAGCCCGUCUCAUCUGCCACAUUCCACUGUAUGAGACACUGCGUGGGGUCUGCAGCCUGGAUGCUGAAACCUCAAGCCGUACACACUUCUAUGCAGCCUUCACGCUGAGCACACA
Molecule: small RNA, 728 nt
Filed under: Pongo abelii (Sumatran orangutan)
Lineage: Eukaryota; Metazoa; Chordata; Mammalia; Primates; Hominidae
Description: processed transcript
Source: RNAcentral